This 696-nucleotide ribosomal RNA is filed under the name uncultured bacterium. Its description in RNAcentral is "bacterial SSU rRNA". It matches the Rfam family "Bacterial small subunit ribosomal RNA", at positions 32 to 715 of the family's 1533-position model. The record is from RNAcentral.
AACGCUAGCUACAGGCUUAACACAUGCAAGUCGAGGGGAAACGACAUCGAAAGCUUGCUUUUGAUGGGCGUCGACCGGCGCACGGGUGAGUAACGCGUAUCCAACCUGCCCAUCACUUGGGGAUAACCUUGCGAAAGUAAGACUAAUACCCAAUGAUAUCUCUAGAAGACAUCUGAAGGAGAUUAAAGAUUUAUCGGUGAUGGAUGGGGAUGCGUCUGGUUAGCUUGUUGGCGGGGUAACGGCCCACCAAGGCGACGAUCAGUAGGGGUUCUGAGAGGAAGGUCCCCCACAUUGGAACUGAGACACGGUCCAAACUCCUACGGGAGGCAGCAGUGAGGAAUAUUGGUCAAUGGGCGAGAGCCUGAACCAGCCAAGUAGCGUGCAGGAUGACGGCCCUAUGGGUUGUAAACUGCUUUUAUAAGGGAAUAAAGUGAGUCUCGUGAGGCUUUUUGCAUGUACCUUAUGAAUAAGGACCGGCUAAUUCCGUGCCAGCAGCCGCGGUAAUACGGAAGGUCCGGGCGUUAUCCGGAUUUAUUGGGUUUAAAGGGAGCGUAGGCCGGAGAUUAAGCGUGUUGUGAAAUGUAGAUGCUCAACAUCUGCACUGCAGCGCGAACUGGUUUCCUUGAGUACGCACAAAGUGGGCGGAAUUCGUGGUGUAGCGGUGAAAUGCUUAGAUAUCACGAAGAACUCCGAUUG